Molecule: ribosomal RNA, 871 nt
Filed under: uncultured archaeon
Lineage: Archaea
Description: bacterial SSU rRNA
Rfam family: Archaeal small subunit ribosomal RNA
Source: RNAcentral
UUUUCCGGUUGAUCCUGCCGGAGGUCACUGCUAUUGGGAUUCGAUUAAGCCAUGCGAGUCGAGAGGGUUCGGCCCUCGGCAGACUGCUCAGUAACACGUGGAUAAUCUGCCCUAAGGUGGAGGAUAAUCUCGGGAAACUGAGAAUAAUAAUCCAUAGGUCUAGGAUGCUGGAAUGUACUUAGACUAAAAGCUCCGGCGCCUUAGGAUGAAUCUGCGGACUAUCAGGUUGUAGUCAGGAUAAAGACCUGACUAGCCAACGACGGAUACGGGUUGUGAGAGCAAUAACCCGGAGACGAUAUCUGAGACACGAUAUCGGGCCCUACGGGGCGCAGCAGGCGCGAAACCUUCACACUGUGCGAAAGCACGAUGAGGGGAUCCCAAGUGCUUGCACGUAAGUGUAAGCUGUUUCUUUGUUUAAAAUGCAUAGAGAGUAAGGGCUGGGUAAGACGGGUGCCAGCCGCCGCGGUAAUACCUGCAGCUCAAGUGGUGACCACUAUUAUUGGGCCUAAAACGUCCGUAGCCGGUUUGAUAAAUGCCUGGGUAAAUCGUAUAGCUCAACUAUACGAAUUCCGGGUAGACUGUUAAACUUGAGACCGGGAGAAGCUAGAGGUACUCUUGGGGUAGAGGUGAAAUUCUGUAAUCCUGAGGGGACCACCAGUGGCGAAGGCGUCUAGCUAGAACGGGUCUGACGGUGAGGGACGAAGCCCUGGGGCGCAAACCGGAUUAGAUACCCGGGUAGUCCAGGGUGUAAACGCUGCUUGCUUGAUGUUAGUCGGGCUCCGAGCCCGACUAGUGUCGGAGAGAAGUUGUUAAGCAAGCUGCCUGGAAUACGAUCGCAAGAUUGAAACUUAAAGGAAUUGGCGGGGGAGCA